UACCGGUGGUUUGUAUACUGG
RNAcentral lists this non-coding RNA (21 nucleotides) under Arabidopsis thaliana (thale cress). The record is from RNAcentral. Lineage: Eukaryota; Viridiplantae; Streptophyta; Magnoliopsida; Brassicales; Brassicaceae.